Long non-coding RNA from Salvia miltiorrhiza (redroot sage), 1646 nucleotides. RefSeq lists it as uncharacterized. The record is from RefSeq and is a predicted model, not a curated record. Lineage: Eukaryota; Viridiplantae; Streptophyta; Magnoliopsida; Lamiales; Lamiaceae. The transcript has 3 exons.
AGCAGUUAAUGAUAUUAUUUCAGAGUUAUAACUGACUUAGCAAAGUCACGUUAUUUAUUUAAGCGAGAUGAAAUUUGAUUUUAUUUUUACUCAGAUCGUGAAUUAUUUCCGACUCAGGAAGUUAAUUAAAUCUGCGGAUUUAAUUUAGAUAUCAGAACAACGAACGAAUUAAAUCUACGGAUUUAAUUUAGAUUCAUUUUAUAAUUUAUCGGUUUUAGUGAGAAAUCACAUGUCGAAAUACGAGAUUUAUUUAAAUAAACAGUAUCAAGCAUAUACGAGCACACGAUCCAUCUUACAGUUACAGAAUCACCGAGACAGAGAAAAUACAUCAAUAAUUCUCCUCUACAUUUUUUUUCCUUUCUUUUUCUUCUCUUUUUCUUUCCAUUAAUUUUGUUCCCCACUCCAUCAACUCCACUACCCUAUGCUCCCCACCAUCUCCACUACCUUUGCUCCCCAUCAACUCCAACACUUCACCCAUUCCUUCCAUUUCGCACCAGCAAUCACAAAGAGAAGGAAGACUUGGCUUAACUACUUUGCCAAGAUUUCAAGCUGCUCCAGUCCAGUAGUACCCCAACACUCGAAGCUAGAGUUUAUUGGGUGAAAAACCGUGCAUGAGGUCGAGCGCAAGAAUAAGAGCUCGUCAAGGAGUCACUAAUCUGUAGCAAAGCUUUGCUAUCAGGUUGAGCAGUAGACGAUGGUGAUGAAGUGACGAGUGGAAUCCUCUUUUGUCGCAAUAUUAUAUGCUAUGAAAAACUCUAGGGUUACAUGUCUUCAUACAUGUAAUCAGAACCUUAUUCCGCUGCGUACUCAGAAGUUUUAUGUUAUUUUGGCUAAGUCAGAGUUAUCUGAACUUAUUAGUUAUUUGAGUCUAUACGACUAAACCUCUGUUAUAUUAUAAAUAUUCCUUUUGUUAAAUGAUGAAAUGCGAUUCUUCCUUGUUUGAUUAUCCCCUUUCUACCCCGCUUCUAAUCUCCCUCCAUUAGUCACGGUUUCCCCGACUUAAUUAUCCUUAAUUAGGGCCGGUCGUGACAGAGUGGUAUCAGAGCAGUUCAUUUGCUCUGAACCCUAGAGUUAGCCCAUUUUUCUAGUAUGAUCACUAGUAUAUAUGAGUCAGUCAGCCAAAGCUCAUCACUUCAUCACAUCGUCAUGCUCAGCAAGAAAGAAGGUGGUAAUGAUUUUAAAACAUUGAGAAGUUCACGUUUUAUAUGAAUGUACUGAUGCUUACAUUCAAGUUUUAUGCUUUAUUGAUUGAUUAGAUAUCUCAAUGAACUUAGAUGCGUUAAGAAUGCAUGAUCACUGUUACGAGAAGAACAAUAGAAGCUAGAAACUCAGUUAUAUUUCACUAUAGCCAUGGUGAAGAGCUAAGAAAGAAAAAGAGAAUCCCAUGAAAGCAGUGCAAGCGGAGUGCCACGCACGAAUCACUGAAGCAGGCAUAGUUCUUCAUUCAGGUUGUUCACGAGUGACAGAACACCGAAUCGACUAUUGCCUUAUUUGAUGAUAGAUCACGUGAGUCAUUGCUCGUAGCGACGAGUGUGACUUAUGUAAUCAGCUAGCUAUCGCAUAAUGAGCUAAGACUCAUUACUAACUCUCGAUUAUCACCAGUUAUGGCAUGAAGAGAACCUUCAUGAUUUAUGUUUGAACUUCAG